AACGACUCUCGGCAACGGAUAUCUCGGCUCUCGCAUCGAUGAAGAACGUAGCGAAAUGCGAUACUUGGUGUGAAUUGCAGAAUCCCGUGAACCAUCGAGUCUUUGAACGCAAGUUGCGCCCGAGGCCAUCAGGUUGAGGGCACGGC
This 146-nucleotide ribosomal RNA is filed under the name Cyrtandra sp. Clark 795. RNAcentral's name for it is "5.8S ribosomal RNA". It matches the Rfam family "5.8S ribosomal RNA". Rfam says of the family: 5.8S ribosomal RNA (5.8S rRNA) is a component of the large subunit of the eukaryotic ribosome. It is transcribed by RNA polymerase I as part of the 45S precursor that also contains 18S and 28S rRNA. Lineage: Eukaryota; Viridiplantae; Streptophyta; Magnoliopsida; Lamiales; Gesneriaceae. The record is from RNAcentral.